UACACUCCUGCGGGAGGCAGCAGUGGGGAAUAUUGCACAAUGGGCGCAAGCCUGAUGCAGCCAUGCCGCGUGUAUGAAGAAGGCCUUCGGGUUGUAAAGUACUUUCAGCGGGGAGGAAGGCGAUAAGGUUAAUAACCUUGUCGAUUGACGUUACCCGCAGAAGAAGCACCGGCUAACUCCGUGCCAGCAGCCGCGGUAAUACGGAGGGUGCAAGCGUUAAUCGGAAUUACUGGGCGUAAAGCGCACGCAGGCGGUCUGUCAAGUCGGAUGUGAAAUCCCCGGGCUCAACCUGGGAACUGCAUUCGAAACUGGCAGGCUAGAGUCUUGUAGAGGGGGGUAGAAUUCCAGGUGUAGCGGUGAAAUGCGUAGAGAUCUGGAGGAAUACCGGUGGCGAAGGCGGCCCCCUGGACAAAGACUGACGCUCAGGUGCGAAAGCGUGGGGAGCAAACAGGAUUAGAUACCCUUGUAGUCCCAUGAU
RNAcentral lists this ribosomal RNA (478 nucleotides) under uncultured organism. RNAcentral describes it as "partial 16S ribosomal RNA". It matches the Rfam family "Bacterial small subunit ribosomal RNA", at positions 332 to 801 of the family's 1533-position model. The record is from RNAcentral.